GAUGAACGCUGGCGGCGUGCUUAACACAUGCAAGUCGAGCGAAGCACUUAGGAAAGAUUCUUCGGAUGAUUUCCUAUUUGACUGAGCGGCGGACGGGUGAGUAACGCGUGGGUAACCUGCCUCAUACAGGGGGAUAACAGUUAGAAAUGACUGCUAAUACCGCAUAAGACCACAGCACUGCAUGGUGCAGGGGUAAAAACUCCGGUGGUAUGAGAUGGACCCGCGUCUGAUUAGUUAGUUGGUGGGGUAACGGCCUACCAAGGCGACGAUCAGUAGCCGACCUGAGAGGGUGACCGGCCACAUUGGGACUGAGACACGGCCCAAACUCCUACGGGAGGCAGCAGUGGGGAAUAUUGCACAAUGGGGGAAACCCUGAUGCAGCGACGCCGCGUGAGCGAAGAAGUAUUUCGGUAUGUAAAGCUCUAUCAGCAGGGAAGAAAAUGACGG
This 447-nucleotide ribosomal RNA is filed under the name uncultured bacterium. RNAcentral describes it as "bacterial SSU rRNA". It matches the Rfam family "Bacterial small subunit ribosomal RNA", at positions 28 to 457 of the family's 1533-position model. The record is from RNAcentral.